GCCCUCGCUUCUGCUUUUUCCUGUCUGGCCCUGUGGUUUUUUUUUCUGUGCGAACCCCUGGUUCUGCUACGCAGUGGCCCUGAGGCCUUCGCUCUUGAAUCUCCCAAACCGUGACAUCAUUCUCCUUUAGGGAUAGGAGCGUUGUCAUAAAAUAGAGUCAUUUGUGUCAAACCUAACAAGAACAACAAAAAGAAUAAAAAAAGCCAGGAGGCUAUAAAAGGAAAGUUCCCACAGAUGAUUGCCUGGUGACAAGAGAUUCUGCCGGAAUCCCAGGCUUGCACAAAGGUGGGCACAGCCUUUCACAGAAAGCCCCUCCAUAAGGACAUUUGCCAGCAACUGUGUGUUCAUCCUCGGACUGACAUCGCCCUCAUUGCUAAUUUCAGGUAGUAACACAAUCUGAACUGGAAGACUGAUCUGGCCCUGUAACCCUGAAGCGAUGACAGAGCGAGUGCAGAGGAAGGACUGUGCCUCUGUGUGCCGGGGUGCUACUCAGCUGGCCUGGUAGGGUGGCAGCUCAUGCACCCCCUCAUCCCCUGGGGCUGUGCACACCUGUUCUCGUGAGUUUUUCACACCCAUGAAGCUCGGAAAGCCCUCACCCGGCACAGUCCGGGCCUCCUUCACAUCCCAAGGAGCAAAGCUUGUGCUCCAACCUCACCGACCUUCACAAGCUAAGCAGCAGCGUGGCUUCCUCUUCCUCUUGCUUUCCGGCUCGGUGAUUUUAGGUUAUGUUUCUGGCUUAGAGUUUUAUUUGUCUGGGACUGUUCUUAAAUCUCCUAAACGAGACAGGAUUGAACAGGCCACGCUUGGAUUCCAGAGAACCCCCAGGACAGGGACAGAGCCAGAGCUGGUAGAGGCACUUGAGUAAGCGGCACUCUGCUCAGGAAGGAAGGCUGGAGGUGACUCUGCAAACAAAUCCGAGACCUCAAAGCCAGAACCCUCAGGCCUGCUACCAGGAAAGGCUGAAGUGUACAGGGGAGGAAUCGAUGUAGAGGUUCAGAGUUCUGCCCUCUUGAUCUUUGAGUCAUUGUGUGCUUAUCGUUCGUUUCUUGGUAAGGUACAGAAUUGUCAUUAAAUCGGGUUUCGGACACAGGCUUGUGCUGAGUUCUCUGUAGGGAGUGUUCCUGGUGAGCUGCCCCAGCAAGUCCCUUCCUCCCAGCCGAAAAUAUUUAAGGCUGGUUAAGUGAUACUAAGAAGAAAGUAAGGAACAGCCUCAAGAGGAAGAUAAGACGUUCCACUGAGGAGUCCAGGGCCGAGCAGCGUGCUCCCAAGCUGCUCCCGGAGUUGAAGGAAUGGAGAAGUGUUAGUCAGCAUUGGGGUGGUUUUAUUUUUUUCCACUGCCCAUCAGCUCAGCUCUUGCCACACCCCCAGUCCUAGGAUCCCAUGGGGUGGAACCUUUCCACGUCCUCAGGGCAUAGGUUAAAGGGACUGGGAAAUUGGAGGCGAGAACUGGCCCACCCACCUCGGGAUCCCCCGGAUCAGAUCCUGUCCUUUCUGACGGGAAGGCAGCCAGCUGGCCCUGGGAGCCAGAGCCCCACGGAAGCCAAGGCAUAGGUCAGCGGGCAAGGGGGACGUGGGUGACGAAUGGUGCGGGUCCAUCACCAGGGCUGGGCAGAUGGAAGCAGUGUGGAGGGCUAUGGUAUCGGGUGCUCCAGAGCAGCGGAGUGGGAUAGAGACACACACUGUGGAGAAUUGUUACGGGCACUGCCUCAUGGCGGCAAGAAGUCCCGUAAUGUGCCCCUGGCUGGUGGGAGAAGCAGGAAGGCAGAUGGUUUAAUUCAGUCCAAAGGCCUAAGAGCCGGGUGCCCAAGGCCCGGGAGUAUAGAAGGUGGGUGUCUUAGGUCAGGGAGAAAGAGCAAGGAUCCCCUCUUCUGUGCUGCUGUCCUGUUCAGAGGCUCCGUGCUGGGCGCUUACCUCCCAGAGGCGUCCUCACAAACACUCCUGAAACUUUUCCAGCUGACGGCGCAUCCCCUCGGCCACUCAUGUCGACCCACAAAAUUAAGUAUCAUGACCCGCAGGAGGUGGUGCACACCUGUAAUCCCUACACGUGGGAGACAGAGGCAGGAGGAUCGCUGCGAACUUGAGACCAGCCUGGGCUACGUAGUGAAUUCAAGGCAAGACUGACCUGGUCAGAAGUUCAGAUCUGAGUGAAUUCUGGGAUGAGCUUGUGGUUGAGGGCCCCUGAGAUGACCCCACACCCUGUCAGUCAUCCCUGUCAACCACACCUGCAGAUUUGGUGGGUAGCACCUACGGUAGAGGUGUCUGACCUGAGUUAUGCGCCCCUUUUUGUUGUGAGGCUGCUUUUGUGUGUUUGACCUGUGUGCAGUGCUUUCGUGUCACCCUAGUACCCUCUCCUGGCCUGUCUCACCUUUGUUGGCAUGGACUGGCCCUGCGCACAACCUCGGGUGACCGU
This is a long non-coding RNA of Fukomys damarensis (Damara mole-rat), 2410 nucleotides long. RefSeq lists it as uncharacterized. The record is from RefSeq and is a predicted model, not a curated record. The transcript is spliced from 3 exons. NCBI's taxonomy places the organism in Eukaryota, Metazoa, Chordata, Mammalia, Rodentia, Bathyergidae.